This 486-nucleotide ribosomal RNA is filed under the name uncultured bacterium. Its description in RNAcentral is "bacterial SSU rRNA". It matches the Rfam family "Bacterial small subunit ribosomal RNA", at positions 28 to 507 of the family's 1533-position model. The record is from RNAcentral.
GAUGAACGCUAGCUACAGGCUUAACACAUGCAAGUCGAGGGGCAGCACAGUGUAGCAAUACACGGGUGGCGACCGGCGCACGGGUGCGUAACGCGUAUCCAACCUUCCCGUUACUCUUGGAUAGCCUUCCGAAAGGGAGAUUAAUACAAGAUGGUAUUCAAAUUCCGCAUGUUAUUUGAAUUAAAGAUUUAUCGGUAACGGAUGGGGAUGCGUGACAUUAGGUAGAUGGUGGGGUAACGGCCCACCAUGCCUACGAUGUCUAGGGGUUCUGAGAGGAAGGUCCCCCACACUGGAACUGAGACACGGUCCAGACUCCUACGGGAGGCAGCAGUGAGGAAUAUUGGUCAAUGGUCGGAAGACUGAACCAGCCAAGUAGCGUGAAGGAUGAAGGUUCUAUGGAUUGUAAACUUCUUUUGUACAAGGGUAAACCCCGAUACGUGUAUCGGGCUGAAAGUACUGUACGAAUAAGGAUCGGCUAACUCCGUG